UACGUAGGCAGCGAGCGUUGUUCGGAGUUACUGGGCGUAAAGGGUGUGUAGGCGGUUGUUUAAGUUUGGUGGUAAAUCUUCCGGCUCAACUGCGAGGGUGCGCCGAAUACUGAAUGACUUGGAGUGUGGGAGAGGUGAGUGGAAUUCCUGGUGUAGCGGUGAAAUGCGUAGAUAUCAGGAGGAACACCGGUGGUGUAGACGGCUCACUGGACCAUAACUGACGCUGAGACACGAAAGCGUGGGGAGCAAAAGGG
RNAcentral lists this ribosomal RNA (254 nucleotides) under uncultured bacterium. Its description in RNAcentral is "partial 16S ribosomal RNA". It matches the Rfam family "Bacterial small subunit ribosomal RNA", at positions 524 to 776 of the family's 1533-position model. The record is from RNAcentral.